UACGUAGGCAGCAAGCGUUGUUCGGAAUUACUGGGCGUAAAGAGUGUGUAGGCGGUGCUCCAAGUCUGGUGUGAAAUCUCCCGGCUUAACUGGGAGGGUGCAUUAGAAACUGGAAUGCUAGAGGAUGGGAGAGGUAAGCGGAAUUCCUGGUGUAGCGGUGAAAUGCGUAGAUAUCAGGAGGAACACCGGUGGUGUAGACAGCUUACUGGACCAUUUCUGACGCUGAGACACGAAAGCGUGGGUAGCAAACAGG
This 253-nucleotide ribosomal RNA is filed under the name uncultured bacterium. RNAcentral describes it as "partial 16S ribosomal RNA". It matches the Rfam family "Bacterial small subunit ribosomal RNA", at positions 524 to 776 of the family's 1533-position model. The record is from RNAcentral.